GAGUUUGAUCCUGGCUCAGAGCGAACGCUGGCGGCAAGCUUAACACACGCAAGUCGAACGCUGUAGCAAUACAGAGUGGCGGACGGGUGCGUAACACGUGGGAAUCUGCCUUUAGGUUAGGAAUAACUCAGGGAAACUUGAGCUAAUACCUUAUAAUAUCUCCGGAUCAAAGAUUUAUCGCCUAAAGAUGAGCCCGCGGCAGAUUAGCUAGUUGGUGGGGUAAUGGCCUACCAAGGCUACGAUCUGUAGCUGGUCUUAGAGGAUGAUCAGCCACACUGGGACUGAGACACGGCCCAGACUCCUACGGGAGGCAGCAGUGGGGAAUAUUGGACAAUGGGCGAAAGCCUGAUCCAGCUAUGCCGCGUGAGUGAUGAAGGCCUUAGGGUUGUAAAGCUCUUUUAAGUGGGAAGAUUAUGACGGUACCACUAGAAAAAGCCCCGGCUAACUUCGUGCCAGCAGCUGCGGUGAUACGUAGGGGGCAAGCGUUGUCCGGAAUCAUUGGGCGUAAAGAGCGUGUAGGCGGCUUGGUAAGUCGGCUGUGAAAGUCGGGGGCUCAACCCUCGAAUGCCGGCCGAUACUGUCAAGCUAGAGUCCGGAAGAGGCGAGUGGAAUUCCUGGUGUAG
This 623-nucleotide ribosomal RNA is filed under the name uncultured Pseudomonadota bacterium. RNAcentral's name for it is "bacterial SSU rRNA". It matches the Rfam family "Bacterial small subunit ribosomal RNA", at positions 9 to 678 of the family's 1533-position model. Lineage: Bacteria; Pseudomonadati; Pseudomonadota. The record is from RNAcentral.